GACGUAGGGUGCAAGCGUUGUCCGGAUUUAUUGGGCGUAAAGAGCUCGUAGGCGGCUUGUUGCGUCGACUGUGAAAACCCGCGGCUUAACCGCGGGCUUGCAGUUGAUACGGGCAGGCUAGAGUUCGGUAGGGGAGACUGGAAUUCCUGGUGUAGCGGUGAAAUGCGCAGAUAUCAGGAAGAACACCCGUGGCUAAGGCGGUUCUCUAGUACGGUACUGACGCUGAGACGCGAAAGCGUGGGGAGCGAACAGG
RNAcentral lists this ribosomal RNA (253 nucleotides) under uncultured bacterium. Its description in RNAcentral is "partial 16S ribosomal RNA". It matches the Rfam family "Bacterial small subunit ribosomal RNA", at positions 524 to 776 of the family's 1533-position model. The record is from RNAcentral.